GGGUUGUGAGGUUAAGCGACUAAGCGUACACGGUGGAUGCCCUGGCAGUCAGAGGCGAUGAAGGACGUGCUAAUCUGCGAUAAGCGUCGGUAAGGUGAUAUGAACCGUUAUAACCGGCGAUUUCCGAAUGGGGAAACCCAGUGUGUUUCGACACACUAUCAUUAACUGAAUCCAUAGGUUAAUGAGGCGAACCGGGGGAACUGAAACAUCUAAGUACCCCGAGGAAAAGAAAUCAACCGAGAUUCCCCCAGUAGCGGCGAGCGAACGGGGAGGAGCCCAGAGCCUGAAUCAGUGUGUGUGUUAGUGGAAGCGUCUGGAAAGGCGCGCGAUACAGGGUGACAGCCCCGUACACAAAAAUGCACAUACUGUGAGCUCGAUGAGUAGGGCGGGACACGUGGUAUCCUGUCUGAAUAUGGGGGACCAUCCUCCAAGGCUAAAUACUCCUGACUGACCGAUAGUGAACCAGUACCGUGAGGGAAAGGCGAAAAGAACCCCGGCGAGGGGAGUGAAAAAGAACCUGAAACCGUGUACGUACAAGCAGUGGGAGCCUCUUUAUGGGGUGACUGCGUACCUUUUGUAUAAUGGGUCAGCGACUUAUAUUCUGUAGCAAGGUUAACCGAAUAGGGGAGCCGAAGGGAAACCGAGUCUUAACUGGGCGUUAAGUUGCAGGGUAUAGACCCGAAACCCGGUGAUCUAGCCAUGGGCAGGUUGAAGGUUGGGUAACACUAACUGGAGGACCGAACCGACUAAUGUUGAAAAAUUAGCGGAUGACUUGUGGCUGGGGGUGAAAGGCCAAUCAAACCGGGAGAUAGCUGGUUCUCCCCGAAAGCUAUUUAGGUAGCGCCUCGUGAAUUCAUCUCCGGGGGUAGAGCACUGUUUCGGCAAGGGGGUCAUCCCGACUUACCAACCCGAUGCAAACUGCGAAUACCGGAGAAUGUUAUCACGGGAGACACACGGCGGGUGCUAACGUCCGUCGUGAAGAGGGAAACAACCCAGACCGCCAGCUAAGGUCCCAAAGUCAUGGUUAAGUGGGAAACGAUGUGGGAAGGCCCAGACAGCCAGGAUGUUGGCUUAGAAGCAGCCAUCAUUUAAAGAAAGCGUAAUAGCUCACUGGUCGAGUCGGCCUGCGCGGAAGAUGUAACGGGGCUAAACCAUGCACCGAAGCUGCGGCAGCGACGCUUAUGCGUUGUUGGGUAGGGGAGCGUUCUGUAAGCCUGCGAAGGUGUGCUGUGAGGCAUGCUGGAGGUAUCAGAAGUGCGAAUGCUGACAUAAGUAACGAUAAAGCGGGUGAAAAGCCCGCUCGCCGGAAGACCAAGGGUUCCUGUCCAACGUUAAUCGGGGCAGGGUGAGUCGACCCCUAAGGCGAGGCCGAAAGGCGUAGUCGAUGGGAAACAGGUUAAUAUUCCUGUACUUGGUGUUACUGCGAAGGGGGGACGGAGAAGGCUAUGUUGGCCGGGCGACGGUUGUCCCGGUUUAAGCGUGUAGGCUGGUUUUCCAGGCAAAUCCGGAAAAUCAAGGCUGAGGCGUGAUGACGAGGCACUACGGUGCUGAAGCAACAAAUGCCCUGCUUCCAGGAAAAGCCUCUAAGCAUCAGGUAACAUCAAAUCGUACCCCAAACCGACACAGGUGGUCAGGUAGAGAAUACCAAGGCGCUUGAGAGAACUCGGGUGAAGGAACUAGGCAAAAUGGUGCCGUAACUUCGGGAGAAGGCACGCUGAUAUGUAGGUGAAGCGACUUGCUCGUGGAGCUGAAAUCAGUCGAAGAUACCAGCUGGCUGCAACUGUUUAUUAAAAACACAGCACUGUGCAAACACGAAAGUGGACGUAUACGGUGUGACGCCUGCCCGGUGCCGGAAGGUUAAUUGAUGGGGUUAGCGGUAACGCGAAGCUCUUGAUCGAAGCCCCGGUAAACGGCGGCCGUAACUAUAACGGUCCUAAGGUAGCGAAAUUCCUUGUCGGGUAAGUUCCGACCUGCACGAAUGGCGUAAUGAUGGCCAGGCUGUCUCCACCCGAGACUCAGUGAAAUUGAACUCGCUGUGAAGAUGCAGUGUACCCGCGGCAAGACGGAAAGACCCCGUGAACCUUUACUAUAGCUUGACACUGAACAUUGAGCCUUGAUGUGUAGGAUAGGUGGGAGGCUUUGAAGUGUGGACGCCAGUCUGCAUGGAGCCGACCUUGAAAUACCACCCUUUAAUGUUUGAUGUUCUAACGUUGGCCCCUGAUCGGGGUUGCGGACAGUGUCUGGUGGGUAGUUUGACUGGGGCGGUCUCCUCCUAAAGAGUAACGGAGGAGCACGAAGGUUGGCUAAUCCUGGUCGGACAUCAGGAGGUUAGUGCAAUGGCAUAAGCCAGCUUGACUGCGAGCGUGACGGCGCGAGCAGGUGCGAAAGCAGGUCAUAGUGAUCCGGUGGUUCUGAAUGGAAGGGCCAUCGCUCAACGGAUAAAAGGUACUCCGGGGAUAACAGGCUGAUACCGCCCAAGAGUUCAUAUCGACGGCGGUGUUUGGCACCUCGAUGUCGGCUCAUCACAUCCUGGGGCUGAAGUAGGUCCCAAGGGUAUGGCUGUUCGCCAUUUAAAGUGGUACGCGAGCUGGGUUUAGAACGUCGUGAGACAGUUCGGUCCCUAUCUGCCGUGGGCGCUGGAGAACUGAGGGGGGCUGCUCCUAGUACGAGAGGACCGGAGUGGACGCAUCACUGGUGUUCGGGUUGUCAUGCCAAUGGCACUGCCCGGUAGCUAAAUGCGGAAGAGAUAAGUGCUGAAAGCAUCUAAGCACGAAACUUGCCCCGAGAUGAGUUCUCCCUGAGACUUUAAGUCUCCUGAAGGAACGUUGAAGACGACGACGUUGAUAGGCCGGGUGUGUAAGCGCAGCGAUGCGUUGAGCUAACCGGUACUAAUGAACCGUGAGGCUUAACCUUACAACGCCGAAG
This 2925-nucleotide ribosomal RNA is filed under the name Escherichia coli. RNAcentral describes it as "bacterial LSU rRNA". It matches the Rfam family "Bacterial large subunit ribosomal RNA". The record is from RNAcentral. Lineage: Bacteria; Pseudomonadati; Pseudomonadota; Gammaproteobacteria; Enterobacterales; Enterobacteriaceae.